GAAGGGACGAACACAAGACAGUAACUCAAAGCCACAGGAGAAAUAAAGGGUUCAAUAAAGACAAAUAGCUGGAGGAUGUCCACGGUCUCUCAGACUACAAUACUCAGAAAGAGUCCAUCCUACACCUGGUGCUUGAGCCCUCCCUCCACCACCUCACCCAGAAGUAAAACUGCAACAAGAUGAUAUGAUGCAGGUGUUAUGCCCAUCCGCACCCCUAUGCAGUCAAAUGCCCCAAGUGCGAACACACCAACCACCUGUGCCUCAAGAAGAAGGUCAAAUAGGGCCCCUCCACCACCUCCUCGGCCUGCAGGGCAGCCUCCUGCCUAACCCCCAGCCCUUGGACCUCAGAAUUUCCCUGUCGUUGACUGGAGCAAUAAAGAAAAAAGGCCGGUGCACCUGCUACUCCCUUUGAUCCCAGGCAAAGUGAUUGAGGAGGUGGCUCAGCUGUGGACAGUGUACAAUGUACCCAGCAAGCAGAACCAUCACGCGUGGUCAGGCCGACCCCACCAGGAGUCCAGACAUCCUCUCAUCACCUGCCGACCAAGAACAGUAGCUGAAUUCUGCGGACAUCCAGGGCUGCCUGUAGCCGCAUUCCAUUUCCAGCCUCACCCUCGCCCUUCCCCCUUUAUAAUCCUGUCCCCUGCACCUUGCCAUAAAACAGGUUUUGGAUGCUUGUAAGCUCCCUGUCUUCCUGGUUGGCUGGCCUUCCAAUAAACACCUUACAAGAUUCAACCCCGCCUUCGUUAUUGGACACAGCGGCAGGCAGCCGAGCCCACC
Long non-coding RNA from Myotis lucifugus (little brown bat), 777 nucleotides. RefSeq lists it as uncharacterized. Lineage: Eukaryota; Metazoa; Chordata; Mammalia; Chiroptera; Vespertilionidae. The transcript is spliced from 3 exons. The record is from RefSeq and is a predicted model, not a curated record.